UAGCAAUACUUAGUGGCAGACGGGUGAGUAACAUGUAGGUAUCUACCCUUUGGUCUGGAAUAACACGAGGAAACUUGUGCUAAUACCGGAUAAGUCUUUACGGAGAAAGCUUUAUGCACCAUUGGAUGAGCCUGCACUUGAUUAGUUUGUUGGUGGGGUAAUGGCCUACCAAGACAAUGAUCAAUAGCUGAUUUGAGAGGAUGAUCAGCCACAUUGGGACUGAGACACGGCCCAAACUCCUACGGGAGGCAGCAGUAGGGAAUCUUGCACAAUGGAGGAAACUCUGAUGCAGCGAUGCCGCGUGAGUGAAGAAGGCCUUUGGGUUGUAAAGCUCUUUCGUCGGGGAAGAAAAUGACUGUACCCGAAUAAGAAGGUCCGGCUAACUUCGUGCCAGCAGCCGCGGUAAUACGAAGGGACCUAGCGUAGUUCGGAAUUACUGGGCUUAAAGAGUUCGUAGGUGGUUAAAAAAGUUGGUGGUGAAAUCCCAGAGCUUAACUCUGGAACUGCCAUCAAAACUUUUUAGCUAGAGUAUGGUAGAGGAAAGCAGAAUUUCUAGUGUAGAGGUGAAAUUCGUAGAUAUUAGAAAGAAUACCAAUUGCGAAGGCAGCUUUCUGGAUCAUUACUGACACUGAGGAACGAAAGCAUGGGUAGCGAA
Molecule: ribosomal RNA, 655 nt
Filed under: uncultured Candidatus Pelagibacter sp.
Lineage: Bacteria; Pseudomonadati; Pseudomonadota; Alphaproteobacteria; Candidatus Pelagibacterales; Candidatus Pelagibacteraceae
Description: bacterial SSU rRNA
Rfam family: Bacterial small subunit ribosomal RNA
Source: RNAcentral